AUUCUGGUUUGGAUGGCAUUGGAGAGUGGAGCUGUAGGCCAGCCCAGAGGUGAGGAAUGCCUGAACACCCUGGGCCAGAUCUCUAUCUUGAUUGUAGAGACAUUGUUUCCUGACCAGCUGGAGGU
Bison bison bison is the source of this 125-nucleotide unclassified non-coding RNA. The record is from Ensembl. NCBI's taxonomy places the organism in Eukaryota, Metazoa, Chordata, Mammalia, Artiodactyla, Bovidae.